GUCCUGUGGUACAUCGAAGUCUCGUAGCCUAUGGAGUGGAAAAAACUAUCGCCUAAUUAGGAAGAUUCUUAUCAGGUGGAUGAGAUGGUAUGCCCCAAAACUUAUAAACUGAAACAGCUUGAUGGAACUCCACUCUAAAGACUGUGAAACUCUGCUAACUUUCGCAUGUAUUAUCAGUGUUAUUAUAAUUUUACUGAAGUG
RNAcentral lists this long non-coding RNA (201 nucleotides) under Elaeis guineensis (African oil palm). RNAcentral describes it as "long non-coding RNA (EGUI_LNC003529)". Lineage: Eukaryota; Viridiplantae; Streptophyta; Magnoliopsida; Arecales; Arecaceae. The record is from RNAcentral.